CAGGGAAAGGGUCCUCCCUCAUAGUGACGCAUGUCAUAGACUCAGAUUUAUACAAACAAAUGCUGAGCAAACCAUGAAGAGUCUCUGGUAUUUUCAACAAUAUCAUCACAGAGGAACUGUAUUGAUUUCCUUGAACUUUUCAAAUGUAGAGGAGCCUUUAGAAGGAAGCCUUGAGCAUGAGGGCAGACCCCCCUCAUCCAACCACCACCUGACUCUGUGUGAACCUGGAACUGUUAGAAUGUCUGUGCUGUGAUAAAAGGUCAUCUCCCUACAAUGUUAUGAUACAGACCUCAAACCUACAAACAUGAGGAACUUCUGCCUCUAGGUUAACUGGUUACCCACUGUACAAGACACGUUACACACAGUCCAGGAGGCGGAGCUUCUGAGAUAUCUAGAAACAGCUUAGAGGCAAAAUGACAAAAUAAAGCAGCAACAACAAAUAAAACCAAUCUUCUCGAACUGGC
This 464-nucleotide long non-coding RNA is filed under the name Pan troglodytes (chimpanzee). RNAcentral describes it as "lincRNA". Lineage: Eukaryota; Metazoa; Chordata; Mammalia; Primates; Hominidae. The record is from RNAcentral.